Molecule: long non-coding RNA, 563 nt
Filed under: Coffea arabica (coffee)
Lineage: Eukaryota; Viridiplantae; Streptophyta; Magnoliopsida; Gentianales; Rubiaceae
Description: long non-coding RNA (CARA_LNC001587)
Source: RNAcentral
UCCCGUGAAGCCUCCAGUUCAUCCACCAGUGUACCCUCCCGUGAAGCCUCCAGUUCACCCACCGGUUAAGCCUCCAGUGCACCCUCCCGUGAAGCCUCCGGUUCAUCCACCAGUGUACCCUCCCGUGAAGCCUCCAGUUCAUCCACCGGUGAAGCCUCCAGUACACCCACCGGUUAAGCCUCCAGUACACCCUCCCGUGAAGCCUCCGGUUCAUCCACCAGUAUACCCACCCGUGAAGCCUCCAGUUCAUCCACCGGUUAAGCCUCCAGUGCACCCUCCCGUGAAGCCUCCAGUACACCCACCGGUUAAGCCUCCAGUGCACCCUCCCGUGAAGCCUCCGGUUCAUCCACCAGUAUACCCUCCCGUGAAGCCCCCAGUUCAUCCACCGGUUAAGCCUCCAGUGCACCCUCCCGUGAAGCCUCCGGUUCAUCCACCAGUAUACCCUCCCGUGAAGCCUCCAGUUCAUCCACCGGUUAAGCCUCCAGUGCACCCUCCCGUGAAGCCUCCGGUUCAUCCACCAGUAUACCCUCCCGUGAAGCCUCCAGUUCAUCCACCGGUUAAGC